AUUUAUAUAAAGGUGACAUUCAAGAAAACGGCUAAAGAGGACCUUAAUUGGUCCUAGAACGGCCUGACGUAGAGGGGUUUUAGCCAGUAGGUCCGAGGACUUCUUCCUCGGAAAUCCGACACUACCCAGUCGUACGGACGGCUGGGUGUCUUUUGAAGAUUUCCCCUCUUC
Agrilus planipennis (emerald ash borer) is the source of this 171-nucleotide non-coding RNA. Lineage: Eukaryota; Metazoa; Arthropoda; Insecta; Coleoptera; Buprestidae. The record is from Rfam.